Molecule: long non-coding RNA, 1121 nt
Organism: Apis cerana (Asiatic honeybee)
Lineage: Eukaryota; Metazoa; Arthropoda; Insecta; Hymenoptera; Apidae
Source: RefSeq, a predicted model, not a curated record
AAGAAGAUAGAAAUUAAAAACUUAAAACUUAUCGUAAACAAUAACAGAAAGAAAGUUAUUAUCAUGCAUUAUCGAUUAUGACUAUUGAUAUUUAUAUUAAUAACACUUUUGUUAAGAAAAUGGAACGGAAAGGAAAACUGAAUACGAGAAGACGAAUUUCACGAUUGACGAGAUACGAAAGAGAAAGGAAAAGUGGAAGAAUUCAUUUGAUUGGCUUAAAACUUAAAAUGGUUUCGAAUCGCUCGAAACAGAGAAUCUAAAGAAGCCGAAGCACGUGACAGAACAACGUGAUGGCACGAUAGGUAAGUACUAGUAAAAUUACCGUGAUUAAGUAAUUAUCUUCCGAGCAACCGACAUUUCAAGACGAUAAGGAGGGAAAGCAGAGGAAUACGUAUGCUACAGGGGUUUUGCGAUACACUUCUAUACGCUAUUGUUUAUUGUCCAUGUUGGAAAGAUAAACCUUUCACUUGCAUUCUCAUCUUGAACGAAGAGGAUUCUCUGAUCGCGAGUAGAGAAGACAAUGCCCUCUACGCUAUAAUCGGUUAUGAAAACGAAAUCACAAGAAAAUAGCUGUGCUUCUAUAAUAUAUAUACACAAGUGUCGAAUUAUUACGAACGUAACAUGAACUAGUGAAAAGUGAAUGUCGAAAGAAACGAAUAUGCUAGUCAUGAAAAGAGAGAAAGAAAAAAAUAGAAGUAAGAAGAGAGAUAAAGAAAAAAGAGAGAGGAAAAUGCAAUCUGUUCUAUUAGUUUAUAUUGUAUCGAGCAGUAGAGGGAAUACGGGAACAUCCUGUCCUGAAAAUUCAUGUCCCGGACGGAAGUUUGAGGGAGACCACGAAUGAGAUACGACGUCGACCAAGCUGUGUGAAUUGCUCACGCGACACGCGAUAAUUCGAACAGAGAAUCACCAGAAUGGCAAUUAAUCGGCUCAGCAAUCAUUCGUUAGCGGUAAUCUUGCAUAAUAGAUAUAUGUAUAUUAGUGUUAGUAAAAAAUUGUUACAAACAUUCACAAAAUAAAACAGAAUCUAAUGUAUGAUUUAGAAUGAAAAAGAACAUAGUUAAACAUAGUUCGUUACGAAUGUAGAAAAAAAUGUAGAAAAUAAACAAUAUCUCUCAUUAUAA